RNAcentral lists this unclassified non-coding RNA (439 nucleotides) under uncultured Agaricales. Its description in RNAcentral is "sequence contains ITS2". The stretch from base 1 to 154 matches the Rfam family "5.8S ribosomal RNA". Lineage: Eukaryota; Fungi; Basidiomycota; Agaricomycetes; Agaricales. The record is from RNAcentral.
AACUUUUAGCAAUGGAUCUCUUGGCUCUCGCAUCGAUGAAGAACGCAGCGAAUUGCGAUAUGUAAUGUGAAUUGCAGUAUUCAGUGAAUCAUCGAAUCUUUGAACGCACAUUGCACCCUCUGGUAUUCCGGAGGGUAUGCCUGUUUGAGUGUCAGUAAACUAUCAACACAAACAAUUUGUUUUGUUUGUGGCUGGAUGAUGAAGGUUGCUGGCUUUAUAUUUUGUCAGCUCCUUUUAAAUGUAUUAGCAGAUCUUUGUAGAAUCGGCUUCAGCUUUGGUAAUUAAUUUUUAUCUGCUGCUGCUGCUGAGGAACAAUUGGAUCAGCUUUCAAACUGUCUUCUCAAGAGGACUGUCUCAUUUUCGAGGCAAUAAUUUGAUUUUUGACCUCAAAUCAGGUAGGACUACCCGCUGAACUUAAGCAUAUCAAUAAGCGGAGGCU